Molecule: ribosomal RNA, 830 nt
Filed under: uncultured Gemmatimonadota bacterium
Lineage: Bacteria; Pseudomonadati; Gemmatimonadota
Description: bacterial SSU rRNA
Rfam family: Bacterial small subunit ribosomal RNA
Source: RNAcentral
CAAGUCAAGGGGGCGGAGCAAUCCGCAACCGGCGAACGGGUGCGUAACACGUGAGCGACCUACCUCAUCACGGGGGAUAGCCGGCCCAACGGCCGGGUAAUACCGCAUACGCUCUUUCUGGGGCAUCCUGGGGGGAGGAAACUUUCGAGGCGGAGAGAGGGGCUCGCGGCCUAUCAGCUAGUUGGCGGGGUAAUGGCCCACCAAGGCGGUGACGGGUAGCUGGUCUGAGAGGAUGGCCAGCCACAUUGGGACUGAGAGACGGCCCAGACUCCUACGGGAGGCAGCAGUGGGGAAUCUUGCGCAAUGGCCGAAAGGCUGACGCAGCGACGCCGCGUGGGGGAGGAAGGGCUUCGGCUCGUAAACCCCUGUUGCCCGGGGCGAACCUCUGGUUUCGACCAGACUGACGGUACCGGGUGAGGAAGCGCCGGCUAACUCCGUGCCAGCAGCCGCGGUAAUACGGAGGGUGCGAGCGUUGUCCGGAAUCACUGGGCGUAAAGGGCGCGUAGGUGGCCGAGCAAGGUCGCGGUGAAAGCCCGGGGCUCAACCCCGGGUCGGCCGUGGCAACUACUCGGCUUGAGCACUGUAGGGGCGGGUGGAAUUCCGGGUGUAGCGGUGGAAUGCGUAGAGAUCCGGAAGAACACCGGUGGCGAAGGCGGCCCCGUGGGCAGGAAGGUGGAGCAAUCCACCGGCUGACACUGAGGCGCGACACGCUGGGGAGCAAACAGGAUUAGAUACCCUGGUAGUCCACGCCGUAAACGAUGGGCACUAGGUGCUUGGGGGAGCGACCCUCCGACUGCCGGCGCUAACGCAUUAAGUGCCCCGCCUGGGGA